This 1648-nucleotide long non-coding RNA is filed under the name Mus musculus (house mouse). Its description in RNAcentral is "long non-coding RNA chr2:145384220-145385868". Lineage: Eukaryota; Metazoa; Chordata; Mammalia; Rodentia; Muridae. The record is from RNAcentral.
AACUUUUUCCCAAGGAACAAAGCAAUGGGCUUCAAAUUACGGUCUUUGGGGAGAAAGGCAGAGAGUGUAUUAUUUGAGAAGAUCAUCUUGAGAGGCCAUUGUUGAUAUGAGGUGAGAGCAUCAUGUCUCAAAGAGCAUGGGUCUGACCAUAUCACAUCCUUCCCUUCUGCCCACAAGAAGUUAUAUGAGGAUACUGAAGAGGCCUGGAUGGUGAUCCCUUCCACCUACCAGACCAGGACUUCCUUCCACCAUUCCAGCUUGGCUGAUUGGCAACACCCAGGCUCAAGACUGCUUUUCACAUAGGAUGGGAUGUUCUCUGGCCUGUUACACAUUCUGCCUAUCCUGCCCCUUCAGCAACGUGAUUCCCAUUCUUGCCCUCUCUUUCCUAUCCUGAUCAUGAUAUUAUGUGGUAUGUUCUAUAAGAAAGAGAAGCUGGCAGAGGGAACAGAAAAAGGAGUCUCUCCCCACUUGAGACAUUCUUCAGCACACAGUUGUAAUUCUUUAACCUAUGGUAAAUUCCCAAGGACUGACCACUUUCACUAGACUUUGCUGUUCUAUAGAGUGCUUAGGUGCAGACCUAAAGAAAGCAAGUGUCCUUAUGGUCCUCACAGCCUCAUGAGCAAUGGCUUAAUAAUAAAGCAAUGGUGUCUUGUUUCAAACUCUUUAAAAGAUGCCCAUUGGAGGGACUCCCUUGAGGUUCUACUAGCAUUUCAUGUUUUACCCCAGUGGUGAAUAGGUGAGUACGUUUAGUUAGAUAAAAGCAAUCAAGCCUAAGACUUAUGACUUAGGCCUUCUCUGGUAUACAUGCUAUAUUUUAAAGGUGUUUCCUAAAACCUUAAAUGAAAUACAUAUGAUCUGCCCCCCACCCAAUGUUUCUUGACAAGCAGAGAUUAUGGUAGGAUCCCAGCACUGAGUCACCUCUUAGGCUAGGGACCUUGCUCAUCGCACAUCCUACAUAACCAUAAAUGGCCAUCCUCACCUUACCCAACAGUGGGGGAGAUGGGCUUUCUGCCUCAUGCUUGGCACCUACAAGCAGAGCCAGCUCUUUAUUUCUAUUGCUAGUUAUGGCUCUGCUGUGUAACACAGUGAAGAGGUGGCUGGAGCAAAUCAACUGCAGCUGAAGCUGGAAAGCUCAGGUACUUGAACUUAAUCUGCUGCUCUUUGCCACAACAAAGAACAGUUUGGUAGCAGCUCCCUGUGGCAGAGACAAUUUGGUGUUGGCUAUAAAUACAUGUAGGUGUGGAGUGUCUCAAGGUCAUCAGCGAGAUGACUUUUGAGCGGCUAAUAAAUGACAAUCCCUCAGCCACUAGUUUUGUAGCUUCUAUCUCUCUAUAAUGGUAUUUUCUUCCUUCUCUCCAGCACAGCUGUCUUGGGAGUGGACAACACGAUUCUUGUCACACAACUGGCAUUGGUUCCUAGACUGUGAAAAAGCAAUCAAAUUUGUUUCUGUUUUAUCUCACAGUAGUACUUGAAUGGGCUUCCUACCCCAAAUGAGUGAAAGGUGGAUGUGUUUCUUUGCAGUCUUCCUCUUUCCUUGCUUGUUUUUCUAGCCUGUCUCAAGCUGUCCACAUAUUGUAAGACAAGAUUCUCUCUGUGGCUCUUUUGAGAUGUCCAAGGCCAUAGCUCAUUAUAGCACAGGAACUUAAGU